This 299-nucleotide ribosomal RNA is filed under the name fungal sp. Its description in RNAcentral is "partial 18S ribosomal RNA". It matches the Rfam family "Eukaryotic small subunit ribosomal RNA", at positions 548 to 853 of the family's 1831-position model. The record is from RNAcentral. Lineage: Eukaryota; Fungi.
UUGGAGGGCAAGUCUGGUGCCAGCAGCCGCGGUAAUUCCAGCUCCAAUAGCGUAUAUUAAAGUUGUUGCAGUUAAAAAGCUCGUAGUUGAACCUUGGGUCUGGCUGACCGGUCCGCCUCACCGCGUGCACUGGUUCGGCCGGACCUUUCCUUCUGGGGAGCCCCAUGGCCUUCACUGGCCGUGGGGGGAACCAGGACUUUUACUGUGAAAAAAUUAGAGUGUUCAAAGCAGGCCUUUGCUCGGAUACAUUAGCAUGGAAUAAUAGAAUAGGACGUGCGGUUCUAUUUUGUUGGGUUCUA